AGCAUCACGCCGGAUGAACGGAUUACUCUGAUGAGGUAAAUUAUGGAUUUAUUACCCUGAUGCUUUAAU
RNAcentral lists this transfer RNA (69 nucleotides) under Nodularia douglasiae. RNAcentral's name for it is "tRNA-Ile". Lineage: Eukaryota; Metazoa; Mollusca; Bivalvia; Unionida; Unionidae. The record is from RNAcentral. RNAcentral also lists the same sequence under 1 other name.